Molecule: ribosomal RNA, 1425 nt
Filed under: Clostridioides difficile
Lineage: Bacteria; Bacillati; Bacillota; Clostridia; Peptostreptococcales; Peptostreptococcaceae
Description: partial 23S ribosomal RNA
Rfam family: Bacterial large subunit ribosomal RNA
Source: RNAcentral
ACAUGUGGACAGUAUGGGAGUGAGAAUGUUGGCAUGAGUAGCGAGAUGUGGGUGAGAAUCCCACAGGCCGUAAACCCAAGGUUUCCAGGGGAAGGUUCGUCCGCCCUGGGUUAGUCGGGACCUAAGCUGAGGCCGAAAGGCGUAGGUGAUGGACAACAGGUUGAUAUUCCUGUACUACCGAUAACCGUUUGAGAGAAGGGAUGACACAGUAGGAUAAGCUAAGCACACUGUUGGUUAUGUGUGCCCAAGCAUUGAGGCAGUCAAAGUAGGCAAAUCCGCUUUGAUAAUGCUGGGAUGUGAUGGGGAGCGAAAUUUAGUAGCGAAGUAGCUGAUUUCACACUGUCAAGAAAAGUCUCUAUCGAGGUUAAAGGUACCCGUACCGCAAACCGACACAGGUGGGUGAGGAGAGUAUCCUAAGGCCAGCGAGAGAACUGUUGUUAAGGAACUCGGCAAAAUGACCCCGUAACUUAGGGAUAAGGGGUGCCACCAUCAGGUGGCCGCAGAGAAUAGGCCCAAGCGACUGUUUACCAAAAACAUAGGUUUCUGCUAAGUCGCAAGACGAUGUAUAGGAGCUGACGCCUGCCCGGUGCUGGAAGGUUAAGGGGAUCUGUUAGAGCAAUCGAAGCAGUGAACUUAAGCCCCAGUAAACGGCGGCCGUAACUAUAACGGUCCUAAGGUAGCGAAAUUCCUUGUCGGGUAAGUUCCGACCCGCACGAAAGGCGUAACGAUUUGGGCACUGUCUCAACAACAGACUCGGUGAAAUUGUAAUUCCGGUGAAGAUGCCGGAUACCUGCGACAGGACGGAAAGACCCCAUGGAGCUUUACUGUAGCUUGACAUUGGGUCUUGGUACUACAUGUACAGGAUAGGUGGGAGGCUUUGAAACCAGGACGCCAGUUUUGGCGGAGCCAUCCUUGGGAUACCACCCUUGUAGUACUGGGACUCUAACCAUAGGCCAUGAAUCUGGUCUUGGGACACUGUCAGGUGGGCAGUUUGACUGGGGCGGUCGCCUCCCAAAAGGUAACGGAGGCGCUCAAAGGUUCUCUCAGUACGGUCGGAAAUCGUACGUAGAGUGUAAAGGCAAAAGAGAGCUUGAUUGCAAGACAUACAGGUCGAGCAAGGAUGAAAAUCGGACUUAGUGAUCCGGUGGUUCUGCGUGGAAGGGCCAUCGCUCAACGGAUAAAAGCUACCCUGGGGAUAACAGGCUUAUCUCCCCCAAGAGUCCACAUCGACGGGGAGGUUUGGCACCUCGAUGUCGGCUCAUCACAUCCUGGGGCUGUAGUAGGUCCCAAGGGUUGGGCUGUUCGCCCAUUAAAGUGGUACGCGAGCUGGGUUCAGAACGUCGUGAGACAGUUCGGUCCCUAUCCGUCGCAGGCGUAGGAAAUUUGAGAAGACCUGUCCUUAGUACGAGAGGACCGGGAUGGACG